This 2258-nucleotide long non-coding RNA is filed under the name Ananas comosus (pineapple). RNAcentral describes it as "long non-coding RNA (ACOM_LNC024337)". The record is from RNAcentral. Lineage: Eukaryota; Viridiplantae; Streptophyta; Magnoliopsida; Poales; Bromeliaceae.
GAGUAGUCUAAUGUUGUUCCGGUUUUUGUUCUUGUGAACAUUGACAUCGAUUCGUUCCAAAUUUACACUCUCGGGGCAUAAUAGAACAAUAUAAUUAGGUUUUACGCUUUAUUAGAUAGAAUGAGAAAAAGUACCCGUUGCAAAGUUAUACUGUUAGGGUGCAACUGAGUAGUCUAAUGUUAUUCUGAUUUUUAUUCUUGUGAACGUUGACAUCGAUUCGUUCCAAAUUUACAAUCUCGGGGCAUAAUAGAACAAUAUAAUUAGGUUUUACUCUUUGUUCGAUAGAAUGCGAAAAAGUACUCGUUGUAAAGAUAUACUGUUAGGGCGCAACUGAGUAUUCUAAUGUUGAUCUGGUUUUGGUUCUUAUGAAUGUAGACAUCAAUUCAUUCCAAAUUUGCACUCUCGGGGCAUAAUAGAACAAUAUAAUUAGGUUUUACACUUUGUUCGAUAGAAUGAGAAAAAGUACUCGUUGUAAAGUUAUACUGUUAGGGCGCAACGAAGUAUUCUAAUGUUGUUCCGGUUUUGGUUCUUGUGAACGUUGACAUCGAUUCACUCAAAAUUUACACUCUCGGGGCAUAAUAGAACAAUAUAAUUAGGUUUUACUUUUUGUUCGAUCGAAUGAGAAAAAGCACUCGUUGUAAAGUUAUACNGUUUUUGUUCUUGUGAGCGUUGACAUCGAUUCGUUCCAAAUUUACACUCUCUAGGCAUAAUAGAACAAUAUAAUUAGGUUUUACGCUUUCUUCAAAAAAAUGAGAAAAAUUACUCGUUGCAAAGUUAUACAGUUAGGGCGCAACUGAGUAGUCUAAUGUUAUUCCGGUUUUUGUUCUUAUGAGCGUUGACAUCGAUUCGUUCCAAAUUUACAAUCUCUGGGCAUAAUAGAACAAUAUAAUUAGAUUUUACGCUUUCUUCGAUAAAAUGAGAAAAAGCACUCGUUGCAAAGUUAUUCUGUUAUGGCGCAACUGAGUUGUUUAAUGUUGUUCCGGUUUUUGUUCUUGUGAGCGUUGAUAUCGAUUCGUUCCAAAUUUACACUCUCUGGGCAUCAUAGAACAAUAUAAUUAGGUUUUACGAUUUUUUUUAUAAAAUGAGAAAAAUUACUCGUUGCAAAGUUAUACUGUUAUGGCGCAACUGAAGUGCCUAAUGUUGUUCCAGUUUUUGUUCUUGUGAGCGUUGACAUCGAUUCGUUCCAAAUUUACACUCUCUAGGCAUAAUAGAACAAUAUAAUUAGGCUUUACGCUUUCUUCGAUAAAAUGAGAAAAAGUACUCGUUGCAAAGUUAUACUGUUAGGGCGCAACAGAUUUGUCUAAUGUUGUUCCGGUUUUUGUUCUUAUGAGCGUUGACAUCGAUUCGUUCCAAAUUUACACUCUCUGGGCAUAAUAGAACAAUGUAAUUGGAUUUCACGCUUUUUUCGAUAAAAUGAGAAAAAGCACUUGUUGCAAAGUUAUUCUGUUAUGGCGCAACUGAGUUGUUUAAUGUUGUUCGGAUUUUUGUUCUUGUGAGCGUUGACAUCGAUUCGUUCUAAAUUUACACUCUCGGGGCAUAAUAGAACAAUAUAAUUAGGUUUUACGCUUUCUUCGAUAAAAUAAGAAAAAGCACUCGUUGCAAAGUUAUACUGUUUGGGCGCAACUGAGUAGUCUAAUGUUAUUCCGAUUUUUGUUCUUAUGAACGGUGACAUCGAUUCGUUCCAAAUUUAUAAUCAAGGGGUAAAAUAGAACAAUAUAAUUAGGUUUUACUCUUUGUUCGAUAGAAUGCGAAAAUAUACUCGUUGUAAAGUUAUACUGUUAGAGCACAACUGAGUAUUCUAAUGUUGUUCCGGUUUUGGUUCAUAUGAAUGUUGACCUCAAUUCAUUCCAAAUUUGCACUCUCGAGGCAUAAUAGAACAAUAUAAUUAGGUUUUACUCUUUGUUCGAUAGAAUGAGAAAAAGUAAUCGUUGUAAAGUUAUACUGUUAGGGCGCAACGAAGUAUUCUAUUGUUGUUCCGGUUUAGGUUCUUAUGAACGUUGACAUCAAUUCCUUCCAAAUUUACACUCUCUGGGCAUAAUAGAACAAUAUAAUUAGNNNNNNNNNNNNNNNNNNNNNNNNNUGAGCGUUGACAUCGAUUCGUUCCAAAUUUACACUCUCUGGGCAUAAUAGAACAAUAUAAUUUGGUUUUACGCUUUCUUCGAUAAAAUGAGAAAAAGUAUUCGUUGCAAAGUUCUACUGUUAGGGCGCAACUGAGUAGUCUAAUGUUGUUCCGGUUUUGGUUCUUUUGAACGUUGACA